Molecule: long non-coding RNA, 876 nt
Organism: Anopheles darlingi
Lineage: Eukaryota; Metazoa; Arthropoda; Insecta; Diptera; Culicidae
Exons: 3
Source: RefSeq, a predicted model, not a curated record
UGUGGACGAGGCCUCAUGUUUUGAUUUUUUUAGAACACAAAAAAAAUGUUCUCGGUUUUUCUCGUAAUUUUACCCUAACUUUAUCCUAGGUGCCGUUAUUAGUUGGCGCUGAUCGUUCAACCCCUGGUAAAAUCACCAUCGUUUGCGGAACCGUGAACUAGUAUGGAAGAAUAUCCAGAGAUCCCAGAGUGUUACUGCGACUGCCAAAAUUGCAGCCUUUUGCGACAGCAGAAUGCGGCGAUGCGGAAGAGAAUUAGAAAUCAGGAAAAGACAGAAACGGAAAUCAUGAAAGAAAUCAGGAAAAUCAUUUCUGCCUUCGAAAAGCCACAGUGCGACAAAUCCCCAGAUUAUAUUAAUAUAAUAGAGAAGCUAGAGAACAUAGUUCGUGAUACAGUGCUUCGCAUCCAAUACGCACAGGCACCACCAUCACCGGUUCCAACAGCGGUAUUUGCAACGGAAGAAGUUAUCUCAUCGACACCACCUCCGGCAACAUCAUCCUAUAGCUAUCUAAAUUUGCCUGUGGAUACUAUUGAUGAGUUGAACGAAUUAGAAAGAUUGGCCAGAAACACAACGUUCGUAGAGCAAGUAACAAAUGUGUUUGUAACAAAAUUUAACUACAACACUCCAAAGAGAAAUAUUUUGUUACAGUUGAUAUCGGACAAUCUAAUAUCUAAAUGCUGUUGGAUGAAAGGAGAACAUAUUCAAUUAUGUAAAUUUAAAAACACUAUUGUUCUUUUCAAUAACAUACUCACCAGUUGCUACGGCGGCCUGUACGUACCGGAUGAGGCAACAUAUAUUAAAAAUAUUUUACAAAAUUGGAAACGGAAAAUGGACGGCAAAACGAAUGAUUCCGAGAAAAUAAAGAUCCCAAUUGUA